AAAGCAGAAAUAAAUUUGUCCACACUUCAAACCAUGUCACCCAUUGUGCAAGUUCCAGGGAAAAUUAUUUAAAGCAAGGACUUCAUCUUUGCCGUAUCUGUGAUGCUUUAUCAGCCUUUUUUCAGAAUGGCGCACAUUUCAAAAGUUUUGUUUAGAUUUCAUUAAAAAAAAAUGCAAGGAACUCAGUGGAAUUUUUAAUGAAAAAAAAAGUAAAAGUUGAAAAAGUAUGCUCCUGAAACUCAAGAGAAAGGGUCAGGAAGAUUAAAAUCACGCGACGGCAACAAAAGGCUACCAGGUUGAUUUUUAUCGCACUUCUACACAACUGAUGAUGUUUGACAGUUUUGUUUCGUUUCGAAUGGAUGAUUGUGGAAACGUGAAAGCUAUACGAGCGUUAAUUUGCGGAAGGACGCAUCUAAUAAAAUCAAGCCAAAACUAACUCAAAUGAUUGAGAAAAGUAGGUGUAGAAUCGAAAAACUGUGAGAACAACCAAGGUACAAAAAGUCAUCGGUACUACAUUGAUCUUGCAAAAAAGCUCCCGCCCCCGGGUGGGCUCGAACCACCAACCUUUCGGUUAACAGCCGAACGCGCUAGCCAAUUGCGCCACGGAGGCUCGUUGAGAAACGGCUCGCCGGAUCACUAUAAAAGCUAGGAUGACGCUUCGGAGCAAAUUUGUAGGGUAUUGUCACAGUGGCAUCCAACAGGAACAAAGCCAACCAAAAAUGAAACGAGGGCCUAUUAUGCCGCCUAUUCAUAAUAGCAGAUGAAGCCAUCCAGAAUGGCACAAUGUUGUUACACAUAAGGUCAGUUGGCGUAAGUCGUUUGGCAUUAAGUCAUUUGACUUAUUUUAUCGAAUGAAAUAACGUGAUGAACAAGGCUGAUGGCAACAACAGACUCAAUAAACCGUUGUUUUUAGAAGUA
Aedes aegypti (yellow fever mosquito) is the source of this 918-nucleotide long non-coding RNA. RefSeq lists it as uncharacterized. The transcript is spliced from 4 exons. The record is from RefSeq and is a predicted model, not a curated record. Lineage: Eukaryota; Metazoa; Arthropoda; Insecta; Diptera; Culicidae.